Molecule: small nuclear RNA, 104 nt
Organism: Nyctereutes procyonoides (raccoon dog)
Lineage: Eukaryota; Metazoa; Chordata; Mammalia; Carnivora; Canidae
Source: RefSeq, a predicted model, not a curated record
GUGCUCACUUCGGCAGCACAUACACUAAAAUUGGAAGGACACAGAGAUUAGCGCAGCCUUUGUGCAAGGUUGACACACAAAUCUGUGAAGCAUGUUAUUUUAAA